GACGAACGCUGGCGGCGUGCUUAACACAUGCAAGUCGAACGGUAAGGCCCUUCGGGGUACACGAGUGGCGAACGGGUGAGUAACGCGUGGGUGAUCUGCCCUGCACUUCGGGAUAAGCCUGGGAAACUGGGUCUAAUACCGGAUAGGACCCUGGGAUGCAUGUCCUGGGGUGGAAAGCUUUUGCGGUGUGGGAUGGGCCCGCGGCCUAUCAGCUUGUUGGUGGGGUGAUGGCCUACCAAGGCGAGUACGGGUAGCCGGCCUGAGGGGGUGACCGGCCACACUGGGACUGAGAUACGGCCCAGACUCCUACGGGAGGCAGCAGUGGGGGAUAUUACACAAUGGGCGCAAGCCUGAUGCAGCGACGCCGCUUGAGGGAUGACGGCCUUCGGGUUGUAAACCUCUUUCAGCACCGACGAAGCGCAAGUGACGGUAGGUGCAGAAGAAGGACCGGCCAACUACGUGCCAGCCGCCGCAGUAA
Molecule: ribosomal RNA, 478 nt
Filed under: uncultured bacterium
Lineage: Bacteria
Description: partial 16S ribosomal RNA
Rfam family: Bacterial small subunit ribosomal RNA
Source: RNAcentral